RNAcentral lists this ribosomal RNA (305 nucleotides) under uncultured bacterium. RNAcentral's name for it is "bacterial SSU rRNA". It matches the Rfam family "Bacterial small subunit ribosomal RNA", at positions 332 to 635 of the family's 1533-position model. The record is from RNAcentral.
UUGGCUUACGGGAGGCAGCAGUGAGGAAUAUUGGUCAAUGGGCUUACGCCUGAACCAGCCAAGUCGCGUGAGGGAAGACUGCCCUAUGGGUUGUAAACCUCUUUUGUCAGGGAGCAAUUGGCGCUACGUGUAGCGUUAUCGAGAGUACCUGAAGAAAAAGCAUCGGCUAACUCCGUGCCAGCAGCCGCGGUAAUACAUAGGGAGCAAGCGUUAUCCGGAUUUAUUGGGUGUAAAGGGUGCGUAGACGGGAAAUUAAGUUAGUUGUGAAAUCCCUCGGCUUAACUGAGGAACUGCAACUAAAACUG